RNAcentral lists this ribosomal RNA (1543 nucleotides) under Enterobacter hormaechei. RNAcentral describes it as "bacterial SSU rRNA". It matches the Rfam family "Bacterial small subunit ribosomal RNA". The record is from RNAcentral. Lineage: Bacteria; Pseudomonadati; Pseudomonadota; Gammaproteobacteria; Enterobacterales; Enterobacteriaceae.
AAAUUGAAGAGUUUGAUCAUGGCUCAGAUUGAACGCUGGCGGCAGGCCUAACACAUGCAAGUCGAACGGUAACAGGAAGCAGCUUGCUGCUUCGCUGACGAGUGGCGGACGGGUGAGUAAUGUCUGGGAAACUGCCUGAUGGAGGGGGAUAACUACUGGAAACGGUAGCUAAUACCGCAUAACGUCGCAAGACCAAAGAGGGGGACCUUCGGGCCUCUUGCCAUCGGAUGUGCCCAGAUGGGAUUAGCUAGUAGGUGGGGUAACGGCUCACCUAGGCGACGAUCCCUAGCUGGUCUGAGAGGAUGACCAGCCACACUGGAACUGAGACACGGUCCAGACUCCUACGGGAGGCAGCAGUGUAGGGAAUAUUGCACAAUGGGCGCAAGCCUGAUGCAGCCAUGCCGCGUGUAUGAAGAAGGCCUUCGGGUUGUAAAGUACUUUCAGCGGGGAGGAAGGCGAUAAGGUUAAUAACCUUGUCGAUUGACGUUACCCGCAGAAGAAGCACCGGCUAACUCCGUGCCAGCAGCCGCGGUAAUACGGAGGGUGCAAGCGUUAAUCGGAAUUACUGGGCGUAAAGCGCACGCAGGCGGUCUGUCAAGUCGGAUGUGAAAUCCCCGGGCUCAACCUGGGAACUGCAUUCGAAACUGGCAGGCUAGAGUCUUGUAGAGGGGGGUAGAAUUCCAGGUGUAGCGGUGAAAUGCGUAGAGAUCUGGAGGAAUACCGGUGGCGAAGGCGGCCCCCUGGACAAAGACUGACGCUCAGGUGCGAAAGCGUGGGGAGCAAACAGGAUUAGAUACCCGGUAGUCCACGCCGUAAACGAUGUCGACUUGGAGGUUGUGCCCUUGAGGCGUGGCUUCCGGAGCUAACGCGUUAAGUCGACCGCCUGGGGAGUACGGCCGCAAGGUUAAAACUCAAAUGAAUUGACGGGGGCCCGCACAAGCGGUGGAGCAUGUGGUUUAAUUCGAUGCAACGCGAAGAACCUUACCUACUCUUGACAUCCAGAGAACUUUCCAGAGAUGGAUUGGUGCCUUCGGGAACUCUGAGACAGGUGCUGCAUGGCUGUCGUCAGCUCGUGUUGUGAAAUGUUGGGUUAAGUCCCGCAACGAGCGCAACCCUUAUCCUUUGUUGCCAGCGGUUAGGCCGGGAACUCAAAGGAGACUGCCAGUGAUAAACUGGAGGAAGGUGGGGAUGACGUCAAGUCAUCAUGGCCCUUACGAGUAGGGCUACACACGUGCUACAAUGGCGCAUACAAAGAGAAGCGACCUCGCGAGAGCAAGCGGACCUCAUAAAGUGCGUCGUAGUCCGGAUUGGAGUCUGCAACUCGACUCCAUGAAGUCGGAAUCGCUAGUAAUCGUGGAUCAGAAUGCCACGGUGAAUACGUUCCCGGGCCUUGUACACACCGCCCGUCACACCAUGGGAGUGGGUUGCAAAAGAAGUAGGUAGCUUAACCUUCGGGAGGGCGCUUACCACUUUGUGAUUCAUGACUGGGGUGAAGUCGUAACAAGGUAACCGUAGGGGAACCUGCGGUUGGAUCACCUCCUUA